GACGAACGCUGGCGGCGCGCCUAACACAUGCAAGUCGAACGGAGAUACCUGUUAGAUCCCUUCGGGGUGACGAUGGACUAUCUUAGUGGCGGACGGGUGAGUAACACGUGAGCAACCUGCCUUACAGAGUGGGAUAACGUUUGGAAACGAACGCUAAUACCGCAUAACAUUAACUUAUCGCAUGGUAAGAUAAUCAAAGAAAUUCGCUGUAAGAUGGGCUCGCGUCUGAUUAGAUAGUUGGUGAGGUAACGGCUCACCAAGUCGACGAUCAGUAGCCGGACUGAGAGGUUGAACGGCCACAUUGGGACUGAGACACGGCCCAGACUCCUACGGGAGGCAGCAGUGGGGAAUAUUGCACAAUGGGGGAAACCCUGAUGCAGCGACGCCGCGUGAGGGAAGAAGGUUUUCGGAUUGUAAACCUCUGUCUUCAGGGACGAUAGUGACGGUACCUGAGGAGGAAGCU
This 463-nucleotide ribosomal RNA is filed under the name uncultured bacterium. RNAcentral's name for it is "bacterial SSU rRNA". It matches the Rfam family "Bacterial small subunit ribosomal RNA", at positions 28 to 492 of the family's 1533-position model. The record is from RNAcentral.